UACAGAGGUCUCAAGCGUUGUUCGGAUUCAUUGGGCGUAAAGGGUGCGUAGGCGGCGCGGUAAGUCGGGUGUGAAAUCUCAGAGCUUAACUCUGAAACUGCAUUCGAUACUGCCGUGCUUGAGGACUGGAGAGGAGACUGGAAUUUACGGUGUAGCGGUGAAAUGCGUAGAUAUCGUAAGGAAGACCAGUGGCGAAGGCGGGUCUCUGGACAGUUCCUGACGCUGAGGCACGAAGGUCAGGGGAGCAAACGGG
This 253-nucleotide ribosomal RNA is filed under the name uncultured bacterium. Its description in RNAcentral is "partial 16S ribosomal RNA". It matches the Rfam family "Bacterial small subunit ribosomal RNA", at positions 524 to 776 of the family's 1533-position model. The record is from RNAcentral.